GAUGAACGCUGGCGGCGUGCUUAACACAUGCAAGUCGAACGGUGAAGGCGGAGCUUGCUCUGCUGGAUCAGUGGCGAACGGGUGAGUAACACGUGAGCAAUCUGCCCUUGACUCUGGGAUAAGCGCUGGAAACGGCGUCUAAUACUGGAUACGAGCUGCGAAGGCAUCUUCAGCAGCUGGAAAGAACUUCGGUCAGGGAUGAGCUCGCGGCCUAUCAGCUUGUUGGUGAGGUAACGGCUCACCAAGGCGUCGACGGGUAGCCGGCCUGAGAGGGUGACCGGCCACACUGGGACUGAGACACGGCCCAGACUCCUACGGGAGGCAGCAGUGGGGAAUAUUGCACAAUGGGCGAAAGCCUGAUGCAGCAACGCCGCGUGAGGGACGACGGCCUUCGGGUUGUAAACCUCUUUUAGCAGGGAAGAAGCGAAAGUGACGGUACCUGCAGAAAAAGCGCCGGCUAACUACGUG
RNAcentral lists this ribosomal RNA (468 nucleotides) under uncultured bacterium. Its description in RNAcentral is "partial 16S ribosomal RNA". It matches the Rfam family "Bacterial small subunit ribosomal RNA", at positions 28 to 507 of the family's 1533-position model. The record is from RNAcentral.